GUUGCAGUUUGUCCGGGGCCGGGUUUGAACCUGCAACCCUAUAUGGGGCUGGCGCCCUACCCACUGAGCCACAGGCACUGCCCGCUCGGCUAUUUUUUGAUUGUAGUUGUCAUUGUUGUUUAGCAGGCCCAGGCUAGAUUUGAACCCACCAGCUCUGGGGUAUGUGGCUGGAGACUUAGCCGCUUGAGCUCCAGGUGCCGAGUGUAUUUUUAUUUAAAAAAAAAAAAAAAAAAAAAAAUUUUUUUUUUUUUUUUUUUUGAGAUAGAAUCUUACUUUGUUGCCCUUGGUAGAGUGCCAUGGCGUCACAGCUCACAGCAACCUCCAAUUUUUGGGCUUAGGCGAUUUUUAAGCCUCCUGCAUAGCUCGGACUACAGGUGUUUGCCACAGCGGCCGGCUAUUUGUUGUUGCAGUUUGGCUGGGCUAGGUUCAAACUCACUACCCUUGGUAUAUGGGGCCCAUGCCCUACCCAUUGAGCCACAGGCACCACCCAGUUUUUCUAUUUUUAUAAGAAAUGGGGUCUUGUUCUGAUUCAGGCUGGUCUCAAACUCCUGAGCUCAAGGAAUCCACCCUCCUGGGCCUCUCAGAGUGCAAGGAUUACAGGCAUGAGCCACUGCAGCCAGCCUUGACGUCACUUUUCUAAGUCUCAGUGCUCAUCUUGGAAAUGGAGCUUACACAGCUGUUGUGAGGAUGAACCGAGGCACUGAUUUAGCGUAUGUGAGGCGCUGGGACUGGUGCCCGGCAGCGGGGGCUGGGGAAGUGCCCAGUAAGUCCUGCUGUUGCUCUUAUCACAUGUCCUUCUUGCACCCCCGUUCCCUGAAGGGUGGGCCUGCUGCCCCUUCCCAGCAUCCCUAAGGGUCCAUGAAUGUUGAAGUCGCUCCUGUAAAGGACACCAGUGGUGCCCCGUGCUUGCCCUACACAGCCCCUGCUUGCAGCCUAGGGCCACGCACAGCUCUCUGGCCACCUCCAUCUCCUCCCUCCACUCCUUCCCCGAUCCAGCUCCCUAACUGCAGGUCUCUGGGACUCUGUCCUGGGCCUCUCUGUUUUCUCUUUCCACCUUCUCUGGGGUACUUGCCUCUUCUACACCGAUGGCCUUAGCCUAGUCACCGCAGAUGCCACCUCUCUGUCCCCAGAUGUGGGGCUCCUGUGGCCUCCGGACAUCUUGCCCCACAUGAACCCCUCAGGCCCCUGACUCCCACUGUGUGCUAAACUGUCCUCAGCUUCUCCCCCGGACUUCCUUCCCCUCCCUGGUCAUCCCAUCUCAGUUUGGUCUCACUGUCCCCCAGUCUUCCAGACUUCUCCUGUCCCCACCACCAUUCCCUUCCCUCCUGCCACAGCCCUGCUGCCCCGCAGCAUGUCCACUCAGCCUCCUUAGGGGCCCUCUACAGACCCCCUUCUCCCUUCCUGGUGCUCUUCCUGACCCAGCCUAUCCUCUUCCCCUGGGGUCCUGUCCCUAAGCUUCUGGCCAGUUUCUACUUGCAAGUGACCCCGCUUCCUGGCACUUCCAACUGACUCUGCAAUGGCCUGUCUGGGACAGCCACCACCUCUACUUCAGAGGCCCUCCUCUUUGGCCUCUCCAGUCUCCACAGACUGUCAAAAAUUGUCAAUGCUGUGCUUGCUUCGGCAGCACAUAUAUUAAAAUUGGAAUGAUACAGAGAAGAUUAGCAUGGCCCCUGCACAAGGAUGACACGCAAAUUCAUGAAGCGUUCCCGACUAUUUCAAGUCAUCUUGGCGGGGUAUUGGGAAAAGUUUUCAAGUAGCAAUAAUUGUGCCUCGGAUAAACUUCACUGGUUACAAUACUGCCACUGCACGAAGCUGGCCUCUCCAGUCUUCUCACCUGACCUCAGAUACCUAUGGAGUUCUCCAGGAUGUCAGCUCCACGAGGGUGGUGUGUGUUCACCACUGAAUUCCCAGCACUGAGAGCAGGGUCUAGCUCCUGGUGGGAGCCCCAGGACCCUCCAUUACUAGGUACGCAGGCCCAGGGCUGGGCCCUGCAAUGGAUUUCACAAAAACGCAGUCUGAUCAACCCACUCUCCUCCUUAAGAACAGACGCCUUCCCUUCCCUGAUUACUCACUACUCUGUGUCGAAGCUUUCUUGAAUAAGAACCUUCCUUUCAAGUAUAUUAAAAAAUUUUUAUUGCUAGGCUUGGCGCUCAUAGCAAAGUGGUUAUGGCACCAGCCACAUACACUGAGGCUGGCAGGUUCAAACCCAGGCUGGGCCAGCCAAGCAACAAUGACAACUGCAACAGAAAAAUAGCCGGGCGUUGUGGCAGGCGCCUGUAGUCCCAGCUACUUGGGAGGCUGAGGCAAGGGAAUCGCUUGCAUCCAAGAGUUUGAGGUUGCUGUGAGCUGUGAAGCUACGACACUCUACUGAGAGCAACAUAGUGAGAAUCUGUCACAGAAAAAAAAAAUUCUUAUUGCUUUUUAAGGCUGUACAAGCUUUGUAAAAACUUUUACCCUGAUACCACGACUAACUUGGGGCACUUGCCUUUUAACUUCCCCAACCUACCCCCACUGAGAUAUCUACUAUCCAUGGUAAUCAGCUAGAUUAUUUUCCUCUGCAUAUAAAAACUUUUUUUUUUUGAGACAGAGUUUCACUUUGUUGCCCUGGGUAGAGUGCCAUGGCAUCAUAGCUCACAGCAACCUCAAACUUUUGGGCUCAAGUGAUUCUCUUUCCUCAGCCUCAUGUAGCUGGGAUUACAGGCACUCACCCCAAUGCCUGACUGUUUCUUUUUAGAGAUGGGGUCUAAGUCUUGCUCAGGCUUGUUUUGAAUUUCUGAGCUUAAGCAAUAACCUGCCUUGGCCUCCCAGAGUGCUAGGAUUACAGGUGUGAGCCACUGUGCCUGGCCAAAACUCAGUAUUUUACAUUAUUUUUACAAAAAGGUUAUACCAUACAGUGUGACACCAAAUCUUGUGUUUUCCACAGAACAAUAUACUACAGACAUGCCUCAUCCUUUUAAGCAGCUACAUAGUAUUGCAUUGUAUGGA
Long non-coding RNA from Nycticebus coucang (slow loris), 2985 nucleotides. RefSeq lists it as uncharacterized. The record is from RefSeq and is a predicted model, not a curated record. Lineage: Eukaryota; Metazoa; Chordata; Mammalia; Primates; Lorisidae. The transcript is spliced from 2 exons.